CCUACGGGUGGCAGCAGUGAGGAAUAUUGGUCAAUGGGCGCUAGCCUGAACCAGCCAAGUAGCGUGAAGGAUGACUGCCCUAUGGGUUGUAAACUUCUUUUAUAUGGGAAUAAAGUGCAGUAUGUAUACUGCUUUGCAUGUACCUUAUGAAUAAGGAUCGGCUAACUCCGUGCCAGCAGCCGCGGUAAUACGGAGGAUCCGAGCGUUAUCCGGAUUUAUUGGGUUUAAAGGGAGCGUAGGCGGGUUGUUAAGUCAGUUGUGAAAGUUUGCGGCUCAACCGUAAAAUUGCAGUUGAUACUGGCAUCCUUGAGUACAGUAGAGGUAGGCGGAAUUCGUGGUGUAGCGGUGAAAUGCUUAGAUAUCACGCAGAACUCCGAUUGCGAAGGCAGCUUACCAGACUGUUACUGACGCUGAAGCACGAGAGCGUGGGUAGCGAACAGGAUUAGAUACCCUGGUAGUC
Molecule: ribosomal RNA, 460 nt
Filed under: uncultured bacterium
Lineage: Bacteria
Description: partial 16S ribosomal RNA
Rfam family: Bacterial small subunit ribosomal RNA
Source: RNAcentral